Molecule: ribosomal RNA, 292 nt
Filed under: uncultured bacterium
Lineage: Bacteria
Description: partial 16S ribosomal RNA
Rfam family: Bacterial small subunit ribosomal RNA
Source: RNAcentral
GUGUCAGCAGCCGCGGUAAGACAGAGGGUGCGAACGUUGCUCGGAAUUACUGGGCGUAAAGCGCGUGUAGGCGGUUACGCGAGUCGGGUGUGAAAGCCCGGGGCUCAACCCCGGAAGUGCACUCGAUACUACGUAGCUAGAGUCCUGAAGAGGAGAGCGGAAUUCCCGGUGUAGAGGUGAAAUUCGUAGAUAUCGGGAGGAACACCAGUGGCGAAGGCGGCUCUCUGGACAGGAACUGACGCUGAGACGCGAAAGCGUGGGUAGCAAACAGGAUUAGAUACCCUGGUAGUCC